GGAAGGGUGUAGUGGUUUGAGUAUUGGACUGGGACUCUGGAGACCUGGGUUCGAUUCCCCGCUGGGUCA
This 69-nucleotide transfer RNA is filed under the name Phrynosoma platyrhinos (Desert horned lizard). Its description in RNAcentral is "tRNA-OTHER". Lineage: Eukaryota; Metazoa; Chordata; Lepidosauria; Squamata; Phrynosomatidae. The record is from RNAcentral.